AGACUAUCCAUAAGUUCUGUGACUCUA
RNAcentral lists this non-coding RNA (27 nucleotides) under Mus musculus (house mouse). The record is from RNAcentral. Lineage: Eukaryota; Metazoa; Chordata; Mammalia; Rodentia; Muridae.